CGGCUCGCCAAGGCAACGAUGCGUAGCCGACCUGAGAGGGUGAUCGGCCACACUGGGACUGAGACACGGCCCAGACUCCUACGGGAGGCAGCAGUAGGGAAUCUUCCGCAAUGGACGAAAGUCUGACGGAGCAACGCCGCGUGAGUGAUGAAGGUUUUCGGAUCGUAAAGCUCUGUUGUUAGGGAAGAACAAGUGCCGUUCAAAUAGGGCGGCACCUUGACGGUACCUAACCAGAAAGCCACGGCUAACUACGUGCCAGCAGCCGCGGUAAUACGUAGGUGGCAAGCGUUGUCCGGAAUUAUUGGGCGUAAAGGGCUCGCAGGCGGUUUCUUAAGUCUGAUGUGAAAGCCCCCGGCUCAACCGGGGAGGGUCAUUGGAAACUGGGGAACUUGAGUGCAGAAGAGGAGAGUGGAAUUCCACGUGUAGCGGUGAAAUGCGUAGAGAUGUGGAGGAACACCAGUGGCGAAGGCGACUCUCUGGUCUGUAACUGACGCUGAGGAGCGAAAGCGUGGGGAGCGAACAGGAUUAGAUACCCUGGUAGUCCACGCCGUAAACGAUGAGUGCUAAGUGUUAGGGGGUUUCCGCCCCUUAGUGCUGCAGCUA
RNAcentral lists this ribosomal RNA (603 nucleotides) under Bacillus amyloliquefaciens. RNAcentral's name for it is "bacterial SSU rRNA". It matches the Rfam family "Bacterial small subunit ribosomal RNA", at positions 261 to 854 of the family's 1533-position model. Lineage: Bacteria; Bacillati; Bacillota; Bacilli; Caryophanales; Bacillaceae. The record is from RNAcentral.